Molecule: ribosomal RNA, 292 nt
Filed under: uncultured Acidobacteriota bacterium
Lineage: Bacteria; Pseudomonadati; Acidobacteriota
Description: uncultured Acidobacteria bacterium partial 16S ribosomal RNA
Source: RNAcentral
GGACUACAAGGGUAUCUAAUCCUGUUUGCUACCCACGCUUUCGUGCCUCAGCGUCAGUCAUGGUCCAGUAAGCUGUCUACACCGCAGGUGUUCCUCCUGAUAUCUACGCAUUUCACCGCUACACCAGGAAUUCCGCUUACCUCUCCCAUACUCGAGCAUUCCAGUUUCCGCCGCACCCUCCCAGUUGAGCCGGGAGAUUUCACAACAGACUUAGAACACCGCCUACGCACUCUUUACGCCCAGUAAUUCCGAACAACGCUCGCUGCCUACGUAUUACCGCGGCGGCUGGCAC